AUGAGGAUUCUUGGGCAGCAGCACCAGACAGGGAGACCGUGGCUGUGCGUGGGAGAUUUUAACGAGAUUCUCACAUGUGAUGAGAAGUGUGGGGGAGCGGUCCGACCUCAAACAUGCAUGGAACGAUUCAGGGAGGCAUUGGAAGGCUGUGAGUUAUCGGACAUUGGUUACAUGGGGGAUAAGUUCACAUGGCGUAACCACAACAAGGAUGAGAGACUUGACCGGGCGACUGCUAAUACGCAAUGGUGUGAGGCGUUCCCGGACUUUUCGGUGUUGAAUGGGAAUCCCAGGCAUUCGGAUCACCGGCCGGUGAUU
RNAcentral lists this ribosomal RNA (315 nucleotides) under Triticum aestivum (bread wheat). RNAcentral's name for it is "partial small subunit ribosomal RNA". Lineage: Eukaryota; Viridiplantae; Streptophyta; Magnoliopsida; Poales; Poaceae. The record is from RNAcentral.